AUGCCCAGCCUGACGCACAGCGCAAAAUGCCACCAAACACUGCAGGUGCCUCCUUCUUUUGAGGGCCUUCAGCCCACAAAGGGCAUGCCAUUCGGCUCAGGCCAAUUCCUCGCAACCACGACGCCGAGAAGGCCGCCCCAGCUUUCCGAAAAGCCAGGCAACUUCUUGGCAAGGCCGGAAAAGCUCCAGGUGGGGAGGAGGGCGAAAUUCCGGUCAGGCCUGGGAAUGGGGACCGCCCCCAAAGAAGAGGGAGAGCCAACGCCCCUGGCCUCGCGACCCCCACCGGAGACGGAGGCCCUCCCACCCACAAGAAGAGACCCAGCAGCAACGCGCGCAGCCCCACUUCCAGCAGCAGGGCCAGGCCGCGCGCGGGACCGGCCACAUCCUACACGCGCCCUCGCUCGCGUCCCGGGGGGGAAGGAGGGCGGAGCCUCGCUCGCUUUUUCUCUCCCUCCCUUUCAGAGGCGGGCAGCGGAGUCCAAACGAAGCGAGUCCUCCCGGCUGAAGUGGGAGAGGAAGAGCGCGGGAGGCGCCGUUCGUUGGUUCCUUGCGUUAACCCGCUUUGGGGAGGGUGGCGAGGGGACAAGAACUCCAGAACCAUUUGCUGUGCUGGAUUCUCAACCUUUAUCUACAGUUCUAACAGAUUCUGCAUGAUCUCUUCCUCCGAAUGAGUUAGAAAAAUGCUCUCUACAACCAUCUUUGGAAACUCACCAUGGAGGUAUGUUUGCAAAUGCAUUCUUUUUAUAGCAGAAACAGUUUUUUCAUUUCUUUGAGCAGCUUCAGAUGGCAAGUGAGAAGCUUGAUUUCUUUGAAAAGCUGAUUGGCACCCUGGGAGAAAGUCAUUGUAAGUAUUCAUUUGAUUCUCCAGAUGAUUUUACUUGUUUAUUUCUGAACUCCUAAACUGCACACAACCUCCAGCCAGAAUGGAAAGCUGUAUUCAUAUUAUCUGAGGAUGAAAAAGAAUUGUAGUCCAGCAUAUCCAGGGAGGAAGGCUGCUAAAAUGCUGCUUAAGCACUGCAAAGACUGAAUAGUCUUGGGAGUAAUUUACCCCUCAAUAGGAAAUUAUUCCUGGUGGGCUUCUCUGGAGGUGUGUUCUUUAGAAAGGCAAGUCUCUCUCUGCUCUAGGAUUGAUCUCUCUUGAAAUUUAUAAUGGGAGGAGGGGUACUUUAAAUGCCAAGUAUAGCCAAUGUCUCAGAGGAUCUGCCAUCUCUGAUCUGCCAUCUCUGAACCAUUCAUGAUGCAUUUGUUAGUUGAAUAUGUUUUCUAGAGGGAUGUUCUGAUACAGUGGAAAGAAAACCUCACCAGCCCAUCACAGACUUGAGGGCAGAAGCUGUGCUUUUUGUAAAGAGAGAAGGAAGAAUAAAUUAUAUCCCUUAACAUUAGUUUUAAAACUAGGACUAUACAAUCAUUACUCAGGAGUCUCUGCAGGUCUUUUAUGUGAAGUGCAUAUGCCUCUGAAUAGAAUUCUAGCAAAGUCAGAUUGAUACAAUAUGAUGUCAGCCCAACAAGCUAGACCAGACUAAGAAAUCAAUGCUGUAUAGAUCAGGAUCUUUUAUUGUAACAGUUAUAGUAACUGACCAUGUUGACAAAAAAGCUGGAACACUCAGUCACAUCUUUCAUUAACCUUGAUCUUUCAGAAAAAUCUUAAGCUUUCAUUAAUCAGCAAGCAUAUGUUUGUGCUAUGGAAACUUUUUCCUCAGUAAAUAAAAU
This is a long non-coding RNA of Laticauda laticaudata (blue-ringed sea krait), 1710 nucleotides long. The record is from Ensembl. Lineage: Eukaryota; Metazoa; Chordata; Lepidosauria; Squamata; Elapidae.